UCUGAGACACGAAUCCAGACCCUACGGGGUGCAGCAGGCGCGAAAACUUGGCAAUGCGAGCAAUCGUGACCAGGGAACUCCAAGUGGCUGGGGUAAUACCCAGUUUUUUCUUGACUCUUCAAAGGUCUUGGAAUAAGGGGUGGGUAAGGACGGUGCCAGCCGCCGCGGUAAUACCGGCGCCUCAAGUGGUAGUCGCUUUUAUUGGGCCUAAAACGUCCGUAGCCGGUCUGGUGCAUUCGUGGGUAAAUCAACCCGCUCAACGGGUUGAAUUCUGCGAGCACGGCCAGACUUGGGACCGGGAGAGGUGUGGGGUACUCUCAGGGUAGGGGUAAAAUCCUGUCAUCCUGAGAGGACCACCUGUUGCGAAGGCGCCACACUAGAACGGAUUCGACGGUCAGGGACGAAACCUAGGGGCACGAACCGGAUUAGAUACCCGGGUAGUCCUAGGUGUAAACGCUGUGGACUUGAUGUUGGGGGUGCUCCGAGCACUCUCAGUGUCGAAGCGAAGGUGAUAAGUCCACUGCCUGGGGAGUACGGUCGCAAGGCUGAAACUUAAAGGAAUUGGCGGGGGAGCACUGCAACCUGAGGAUUGUGCGGUUUAAUUGGACUCAACGCCGGGA
This 620-nucleotide ribosomal RNA is filed under the name uncultured Candidatus Poseidoniales archaeon. RNAcentral's name for it is "bacterial SSU rRNA". It matches the Rfam family "Archaeal small subunit ribosomal RNA", at positions 302 to 923 of the family's 1478-position model. The record is from RNAcentral. Lineage: Archaea; Methanobacteriati; Thermoplasmatota; Candidatus Poseidoniia; Candidatus Poseidoniales.